This is a small nuclear RNA of Mastomys coucha (southern multimammate mouse), 108 nucleotides long. The record is from RefSeq and is a predicted model, not a curated record. NCBI's taxonomy places the organism in Eukaryota, Metazoa, Chordata, Mammalia, Rodentia, Muridae.
GUGCUCGCUUCGGUAGCACAUAUACUAAAAUUGGAACGAUACAGAGAAGAUUAGCAUGGCCCCUGCACAAUUUGUGAAGCAUUCCAUAUUAAAAAAAAAAAUACAUUC